RNAcentral lists this ribosomal RNA (253 nucleotides) under uncultured bacterium. Its description in RNAcentral is "partial 16S ribosomal RNA". It matches the Rfam family "Bacterial small subunit ribosomal RNA", at positions 524 to 776 of the family's 1533-position model. The record is from RNAcentral.
UACGAAGGGGGCUAGCGUUGUUCGGAAUUACUGGGCGUAAAGCGCACGUAGGCGGAUAUUUAAGUCAGGGGUGAAAUCCCAGAGCUCAACUCUGGAACUGCCUUUGAUACUGGGUAUCUCGAGUAUGGAAGAGGUGAGUGGAAUUCCGAGUGUAGAGGUGAAAUUCAUAGAUAUUCGGAGGAACACCAGUGGCGAAGGCGGCUCACUGGUCCAUUACUGACGCUGAGGUGCGAAAGCGUGGGGAGCAAACAGG